AUGGCGGCUGAAGCACUUUUUGUGGCAAUUGGUUCUUAUGCCUUUGGAGCUUUAUCGGCAGCAGGUGGAUUGCUUUAUGCAAUCAAAGCUUACAAGAAUUAUAGGGCCAUGCGUGAGGAGGUUAAAAUAUGUGCUGCCUGUGGGAAGGAAGUGAAGAUUAUGCUGUCUGAAGAGCAUAUUGAAGAACACAGGUAUGGACUUAUAGUGUACAUAUUUGUGUAA
This 222-nucleotide ribosomal RNA is filed under the name Triticum aestivum (bread wheat). Its description in RNAcentral is "partial small subunit ribosomal RNA". Lineage: Eukaryota; Viridiplantae; Streptophyta; Magnoliopsida; Poales; Poaceae. The record is from RNAcentral.